UACAAGGAUUCCCCUAGUAACGGCGAGUGAAGCGGGAUGAGCUCACCAUGUGAAUCUGCGCAACCAGCAAUGGUGCGCCGAAUUGUGGUCUGAAGAAGUAUUGUCGGCCGCGAGUCCGGGUUAACUGUAUUGGAAAAUACGGCCUGUGAGGGUGAAAGCCCCGUUCAUGCCUGGACUUGUUGCGCUUUGGCACAUGCUUUCUACGAGUCGAGUUGCUUGGGAUUGCAGCUCAAAUUUGGUGGUAAAUUCCAUCUAAAGCUAAAUAUUGGUGUGACACCGAUAGUGUACAAGUACCGUGAGGGAAAGAUGCAAAGAACUUUGAAAAGAGAGUUAAAGAGUACCUGAAAUUGUUAAAAGGGAAGCGAAGGAAUCCAGUGUAAAGCGAAGCCAUUCUUCUCAAGCCACUUGUGGUUUGGGCGCUGUGGUUAGCUGUACUAAUUCUGGGCUUGACCUGGGGCAUACGUUCUUCGAGUAGACGACUCUUCGGAGUGAGUGCUCGUUUUUCAUAUCCUGGGUCGGGCUGAGGUCAGUCACUCUGUGCUCGUGAUGAAUUAGGAAAUGGAUUUCUUUACCCCGUCUUGAAACACGGACCAAGGAGUCUAACAUAUGUGCAAGUACGUCAGUGGCAAACUGAUAUGCGUAAUGAAAGUAACAGUGGUAGGAACCUUCGGGUGCACUAUCCGCCGGCCAUAAUCCUUCGGGAGAAAGGUCUGAGUGUGAGCAUACAUGUUGGGACCCGAAAGAUGGUGAACUAUGCCUGAGUAGGGCGAAGCCAGGG
This 778-nucleotide ribosomal RNA is filed under the name Skeletonema pseudocostatum. RNAcentral describes it as "eukaryotic LSU rRNA". It matches the Rfam family "Eukaryotic large subunit ribosomal RNA", at positions 67 to 857 of the family's 3401-position model. Lineage: Eukaryota; Bacillariophyta; Thalassiosirophyceae; Thalassiosirales; Thalassiosiraceae. The record is from RNAcentral.